Molecule: ribosomal RNA, 442 nt
Filed under: uncultured bacterium
Lineage: Bacteria
Description: partial 16S ribosomal RNA
Rfam family: Bacterial small subunit ribosomal RNA
Source: RNAcentral
CCUACGGGAGGCAGCAGUAGGGAAUCUUUCACAAUGGGCGAAAGCCUGAUGGAGCAACGCCGCGUGCAGGAUGAAGGCCUUCGGGUUGUAAACUGCUUUUAUAAGCGAGAAAUAUGAUGGUAACUUAUGAAUAAGGAUCGGCUAACUACGUGCCAGCAGCCGCGGUCAUACGUAGGAGCCGAGAAUUAUCCGGAGUGACUGGGUGUAAAGAGUUGCGUGGGUGAGAUAAUAAGUAGCUAGUGAAAUCGGGUGGCUCAACCAUUCAGGCUAUUAGCUAAACUGUUUAGCUCGAGUGCGAUAGGGGAAAGUGGAAUUGCAUGUGUAGGAGUGAAAUGCGUAGAUAUAAGGAGGAACACCGAUUGCGAAGGCGGGUCGCUGGGUCGUUUCUGACACUAAGGCACGAAAGCGUAGGGAGCAAACGGGAUUAGAUACCCGGGUAGUC